CCUACGGGAGGCAGCAGUAGGGAAUAUUGCUCAAUGGGGGAAACCCUGAAGCAGCAACGCCGCGUGGAGGAUGAAGGUUUUCGGAUCGUAAACUCCUUUUGUUAGAGAAGAUAAUGACGGUACCUAACGAAUAAGCACCGGCUAACUCCGUGCCAGCAGCCGCGGUAAUACGGAGGGUGCAAGCGUUACCCGGAUUCACUGGGCGUAAAGAGCGCGCAGGCGGGAUAGCAAGUCAGAUGUGAAAUCCUAGGGCUUAACCAUAGAACUGCUUUUGAAACUGUUAUUCUAGAGUAUGGGAGGGGUAGGUGGAAUUCUUGGUGUAGGGGUAAAAUCCGUAGAGAUCAAGAGGAAUACUCGUUGCGAAGGCGGCCUGCUGGAACGUGACUGACGCUGAUGCGCGAAGGCGUGGGGAGCAAACAGGAUUAGAUACCCGAGUAGUC
RNAcentral lists this ribosomal RNA (440 nucleotides) under uncultured bacterium. RNAcentral describes it as "partial 16S ribosomal RNA". It matches the Rfam family "Bacterial small subunit ribosomal RNA", at positions 338 to 795 of the family's 1533-position model. The record is from RNAcentral.